RNAcentral lists this ribosomal RNA (749 nucleotides) under uncultured bacterium. RNAcentral's name for it is "bacterial SSU rRNA". It matches the Rfam family "Bacterial small subunit ribosomal RNA", at positions 94 to 863 of the family's 1533-position model. The record is from RNAcentral.
AGCGGCGGACGGGUGAGUAACGCGUGGGUAACCUGCCCUGUACACACGGAUAACAUACCGAAAGGUAUGCUAAUACGGGAUAAUGUGCUUUUGUCGCAUGGCAAAAGUAUCAAAGCUCCGGCGGUACAGGAUGGACCCGCGUCUGAUUAGCUAGUUGGAGAGGUAAUGGCUCACCAAGGCGACGAUCAGUAGCCGACCUGAGAGGGUGAUCGGCCACAUUGGAACUGAGACACGGUCCAAACUCCUACGGGAGGCAGCAGUGGGGAAUAUUGCACAAUGGGCGAAAGCCUGAUGCAGCAACGCCGCGUGAGCGAUGAAGGCCUUCGGGUCGUAAAGCUCUGUCCUCAAGGAAGAUAAUGACGGUACUUGAGGAGGAAGCCCCGGCUAACUACGUGCCAGCAGCCGCGGUAAUACGUAGGGGGCUAGCGUUAUCCGGAAUUACUGGGCGUAAAGGGUGCGUAGGUGGUUUCUUAAGUCAGAGGUGAAAGGCUACGGCUCAACCGUAGUAAGCCUUUGAAACUGAGAAACUUGAGUGCAGGAGAGGAGAGUAGAAUUCCUAGUGUAGCGGUGAAAUGCGUAGAUAUUAGGAGGAAUACCAGUUGCGAAGGCGGCUCUCUGGACUGUAACUGACACUGAGGCACGAAAGCGUGGGGAGCAAACAGGAUUAGAUACCCUGGUAGUCCACGCCGUAAACGAUGAGUACUAGGUGUCGGGGGUUACCCCCCUCGGUGCCGCAGCUAACGCAUUAA